ACCAGUGUGGCAUAGUGGUUUGAGUGCUGGACUACGACUCUGGAGACCAGGGUUCGAAUCCAACUCGGCCAUGGAA
Molecule: transfer RNA, 76 nt
Filed under: Phrynosoma platyrhinos (Desert horned lizard)
Lineage: Eukaryota; Metazoa; Chordata; Lepidosauria; Squamata; Phrynosomatidae
Description: tRNA-OTHER
Source: RNAcentral